UAUGGUCACACCACUAUGAAUGUGUCCAAUGUCAUCUGAUCUCAGAAGCUAAGCAUAGUUGGGCCUGGUUAGCACUUGGAUGAGAGAAAGUCAGGUUUUCUCUAUGU
Molecule: ribosomal RNA, 107 nt
Filed under: Jaculus jaculus (lesser Egyptian jerboa)
Lineage: Eukaryota; Metazoa; Chordata; Mammalia; Rodentia; Dipodidae
Source: RNAcentral